This 488-nucleotide long non-coding RNA is filed under the name Cottoperca gobio. RNAcentral's name for it is "lncRNA (ENSCGOG00000016620.1)". The record is from RNAcentral. Lineage: Eukaryota; Metazoa; Chordata; Actinopteri; Perciformes; Bovichtidae.
CUUCUUCUCUCUGUUUAGCAAAGAUUUACUGUACUGGAUAAGAACAACGAUGGCAAGUUGAGCCGCAGGGACCUGAGGAAGCUGCGAUACAAGAGGAUGCCACUGGAGCAUUGUGCUACACCAUUCUUUCAAUCAUGUGACCGUAACAAGAACAGGAAGGUGACCCUGCAAGAGUGGACGACCUGUCUGGUUGAUCACUCCGAGGCCUGGUUCUAUCAUUUCAUGUCAAUGAGAAUGGGCUCCCGCAAGCUGUGUCCUUCAAUCAAAGAGAACUCCCUUUGACAUGAACAACAGCCAUGAACUCCUUCCUGCAUGUCUUGUGUAAAGAACUUGCUGAAGAAACAUUACCAGAGUUAUUUCAAAGCUACGGGAUGGCAUCUCUACACACAGCUCACGCAUCUGUUUUACGCCAGUACUGCAGCUCGUAACGCAGUGAUUUAUAACCUCAUCAAAUUUGAAAGUCUACUGGUUGUCUGUGCAUUCAUGUG